ACCCAUCUAAGUGUGUGCUGGCUGAGACUGGUAGCCGGCCUGAGAGGGUGACCGGCCACACUGGGACUGAGAUACGGCCCAGACUCCUACGGGAGGCAGCAGUGGGGAAUAUUGCACAAUGGGCGCAAGCCUGAUGCAGCGACGCCGCGUGAGGGAUGACGGCCUUCGGGUUGUAAACCUCUUUCAGCAGGGACGAAGCGCAAGUGACGGUACCUGUAGAAGAAGGACCGGCCAACUACGUGCCAGCAGCCGCGGUAAUACGUAGGGUCCGAGCGUUGUCCGGAAUUACUGGGCGUAAAGAGCUCGUAGGUGGUUUGUCGCGUUGUUCGUGAAAACUCACAGCUCAACUGUGAGCUUGCGGGCGAUACGGGCAGACUAGAGUACUGCAGGGGAGACUGGAAUUCCUGGUGUAGCGGUGGAAUGCGCAGAUAUCAGGAGGAACACCGGUGGCGAAGGCGGGUCUCUGGGCAGUAACUGACGCUGAGGAGCGAAAGCGUGGGGAGCGAACAGGAUUAGAUACCCUGGUAGUCCACGCCGUAAACGGUGGGUACUAGGUGUGGGUUUCCUUCCUUGGGAUCCGUGCCGUAGCUAACGCAUUAAGUACCCCGCCUGGGGAGUACGGCCGCAAGGCUAAAACUCAAAGAAAUUGACGGGGGCCCGCACAAGCGGCGGAGCAUGUGGAUUAAUUCGAUGCAACGCGAAGAACCUUACCUGGGGUUUGACAUGCACAGGACGCUGGUAGAGAUAUCCAGUUCCCUUGUGGGCCUGUGUGCAGGUGGUGCAUGGCUGUCGUCAGCUCGUGUCGUGAGAUGUUGGGUUAAGUCCCGCAACGAGCGCAACCCUUGGUCUCAUGUUUGCCAGCACGUAAUGGUGGGGACUCGUGAGAGA
RNAcentral lists this ribosomal RNA (888 nucleotides) under uncultured bacterium. Its description in RNAcentral is "bacterial SSU rRNA". It matches the Rfam family "Bacterial small subunit ribosomal RNA", at positions 252 to 1148 of the family's 1533-position model. The record is from RNAcentral.